GUGAUGCUUGUAUUGACUAGAAUAGCCUUGUUGGGUGAAAUAAGGGAAUAUCACACUUAAAACUUAAAACACUCGAAAGUGGGGCUUAAACAAUGGGACCAUUAGUGAAUAUAGCAGGCCCUAUUGUAUAUGGCCUAGCCACGCCCGAUGCUCAAGGGCGUCAACGGCUCUGAAGUUGAAAAGAAGUCAAAACAAAAUCACUUGCCUCAGAAGUGAAUGACCUUUCCAGAUGCCGCCCCACAGAGUGCUGCCACGGAAUAACCCUCGAGCUGCCCCAUUCUUGCAUUUUAGGUAUGGAGCACGGACACAUACGCAACCGACAGUUCUUGAAACCAUAUUACCCUUGACCUCUGGGCCUGCAAGAGUAUCGACGGCACGCCUCAUUGACGUUUGGUCUCCGGGCGUAGGACUACAGACAACAGGCGUCACUGCAACUCGUAGGCCUUCUACACAAACCCAAGGCCAACCGUCUGUGGUAACAACCCUGGCCGCUUGGUCUCCGGACGUAGGACUAGGCCUACAGACGACACGCGUCAUUGCAACUCGUCGAUCCACUCGCUUGGCGGGGCAAGCCCCGGGACCUGCGAGACAGCCUGCCGCCGUUGCACCUUUGGAACCGAAUCCACCACCUCAAGGUGCCAACGCGCGACAUCCCAAAACGAGAGUUGGAACCAACAGGAAUCGUCCACCACAAUUGCGCCUAUAUGAAUCUACAGGAACAGCUUCAAGGAAAGGCUCCAUGUAUAAAGACCUCGAGGGACCGCGCGCAAAUGCAUCAGCCAAAGCUCCACGACUUGUGGCCAUAAUGAGGAAUCGCGAGGAGCAAGUCCCAUCACAGUCUCGGCCGACGCAGUAAACACAUGAAUUGGUGAACAAAAAAUAAAACAAAACUAAAACUC
Engraulis encrasicolus (European anchovy) is the source of this 899-nucleotide long non-coding RNA. RefSeq lists it as uncharacterized. The transcript is spliced from 2 exons. Lineage: Eukaryota; Metazoa; Chordata; Actinopteri; Clupeiformes; Engraulidae. The record is from RefSeq and is a predicted model, not a curated record.